Molecule: ribosomal RNA, 459 nt
Filed under: uncultured bacterium
Lineage: Bacteria
Description: partial 16S ribosomal RNA
Rfam family: Bacterial small subunit ribosomal RNA
Source: RNAcentral
CCUACGGGAGACUGCAGUGAGGAAUAUUGGUCAAUGGGCGUGAGCCUGAACCAGCCAAGUCGCGUGAGGGAAGACGGUCCUAUGGAUUGUAAACCUCUUUUGUCGGGGAGCAAAAGACGCCGCGCGUUGCGUUCCGAGAGUACCCGAAGAAAAAGCAUCGGCUAACUCCGUGCCAGCAGCCGCGGUAAUACGGAGGAUGCGAGCUUUAUCCGGAUUUAUUGGGGUUAAAGGGUGCGCAGGCGGAAGAUUAAGUCAGCGGUAAAAUUGAGAGGCUCAACCUCUUCGAGCCGUUUAAACGGGUUGUCUUGAGUGAGUGAGAAGUAUGCGGAAUGCGUGGUGUAGCGGUGAAAUGCAUAGAUAUCACGCAGAACUCCGAUUGCGAAGGCAGCAUACCGGCGCUCAACUGACGCUCAUGCACGAAAGUGUGGGUAUCGAACAGGAUUAGAUACCCCAGUAGUC